RNAcentral lists this long non-coding RNA (1351 nucleotides) under Vulpes vulpes (red fox). RNAcentral describes it as "lncRNA (ENSVVUG00000014089.1)". Lineage: Eukaryota; Metazoa; Chordata; Mammalia; Carnivora; Canidae. The record is from RNAcentral.
GUAUUUCACGAAACGUGAGCAAAUUACAAACCCGGGAGCGGGGCUUUGAUGCUGAUGGUGCUGUCGGCUGUCCUCGCGUGUUGCUGUUUUUUCUUCAGCUUUUCGAUACUUUCCAAGUAUCUUUGCCCCUACCUACCUCCUUUCCUCGGCUCCCCAGACCUACCUUCGUCACCAAGUGUGUCUGGCAACUUUGCAAGGCAAAAGAAAGCUCACUUAACCUUGAGUUUUCCUAAGAAGUCCAUGAUUCUCUGUGGCCAUUUGACAGAAUAUGGGGGAGGCUGUUGGCCUUACUGCUCUGGAAUUCUAGGAUCAGAAGAACCAUCAUCAUUCACUCAUUUAUUCAUUCAGUAAGUAUAUAUGAAGUGCCUAUUAUGUACCCUUAUUGUGUAUUGUGUAUUGUGUAUGUGUAUGUGUAUGUGAGGUGGGGUAACAGAAGAAAAUCCUGACCUGAUGGAAGGAAUUUCCUUCAACUGGAAAUUACAGAUUUAGAUAUUGGUGGAGAUAAUCACAAUUGUUAGUUAUAUUGCUUUUGCUUUUUCUGUAUAGUCUUUCUUUUAGAGGCUAGAAGGUACUUUUUAUUUAAUUUUUUUUUAAUUUUUUUUAAUUUUAUUUAUUUAUGAUAGUCACAGAGAGAGAGAGAGAGAGGCAGAGACACAGGCAGAGGGAGAAGCAGGCUCCAUGCACCGGGAGCCCGAUGUGGGAUUCGAUCCCGGGUCUCCAGGAUCGCGCCCUGGGCCAAAGGCAGGCGCCAAACCGCUGCGCCACCCAGGGAUCCCUUAUUUAAUUUUUUAAAAGAUUCUAUUUUUUUAUUCAUGAGAAACACAGAGAGGCAGAGACAUAGGCAGAGGGAGAAGCAGGCUCCCUUCAGGGAGCACACGUUCAACCACGGAGCCACCCAGACAUUCCCUAGGAGGUACUUUUUAGAUGGAUAGAUAAAAAUUUAAUUGUUAAGUAUUUUGAGAUUUGACUGUGAGAAAGUAUUCUAGUCAUGAUGUUGAUUCUAGGCCUAGUAACAAGAACCGUUGUAUGGAUGAUGAAAUUGAGGCACAGAGAGGUUAGGUGACAUGCUAAGCUCACAGAGCUAGGCGCCAGACCCAGGGGUCUUAAUCCUCACGCCACACUGUCCUCUGGAGGAGCACCAGCUUAAGGACAAAGGCCUGACUGCUGUUAUGGAAUCCUUACUUGUAAAACAUAUCAGUUGGUUAAUGUACAGAUUUCAUGCUAUUUCAAUCAAAACUUCCAAUGAGGUGGGGGUGAGGGACUUCCAAUGCAUUUUUUUUCUUAACAAAAUAAUUCUUAAAUAUGUGUAAAAGAAUAACUCAGAUGGGAAUGAGGUAGAAGGCUAUGCAAU